AGUCUGUAACGCAUGACUGCUUGCAGGCAAUGCGUUAAGACUAUUAGCAAAUCGAACAGACAUGAGCACGGAGGACGACAGUCCGGAUUGCGAAUGGAUGUACACUUUCGAGAGUGCGGGAGCACGGAGAAA
Molecule: small RNA, 132 nt
Filed under: uncultured Acetatifactor sp.
Lineage: Bacteria; Bacillati; Bacillota; Clostridia; Lachnospirales; Lachnospiraceae
Description: Clostridiales-1 RNA
Rfam family: Clostridiales-1 RNA
Source: RNAcentral